Molecule: long non-coding RNA, 970 nt
Organism: Brassica napus (rape)
Lineage: Eukaryota; Viridiplantae; Streptophyta; Magnoliopsida; Brassicales; Brassicaceae
Exons: 2
Source: RefSeq, a predicted model, not a curated record
UUCAAACUUUGGUUCGCGAUUUCAAAUAUAUUACUUAGAAAAUAAUGUUUUGAGUCAGUUUCAGGACAUAUUUAAUAUAGUUUGAAUUUUCUUCCUAUAGUUAUAUACCUUGUUCAAAAAAUCGGCCGCGGAGGCGAUUACACGGCCGGUUAAACGUGAUGCGGGUGGGCUCCGUGGCGAAUUGAGUCACUUCGGUUGCAUUAGGCGGUGGGCCGUGGAAUUGACAUGGACGGCGUAGAAUUAUAAAACGCGUCCGCGUAAUGGUGAAGAAACUCCUCCUAUUCAAAUGGGUUGUCGAAAGGUUGAACCCUCGUUAGUCGUUACUCGUUACAGAUACAUGGUGGUUCUGUUGGUGUAGCGAGAACAAGUCAAAAGGUAUGCCAAGAUCAAAGCACACCAACUGUUCGAUGAAAUUCCUAAGAGAAGGUUCACAUGAUUGUAAACUGUAAAGAUUAUAGUGCUUUGAUGAUCAUGAGAUGCGGAGACGUGAGUGGUGUGUUACCACAAAAUCAAGGGAAGGUGUUUGGUUCCAAAGACAUUUUUUUUUUUGGUAAAAUAUAAAGACAUUGUUAUUAUGCUAAUGAAGCUGUUCUUUGAGAAUGGCAAAGUCAAUAUGGAACUAAACCUGAGGAAAUAUAUGAUGGAGAAAGGGUACUGCCCUCAUGGCCACGCAUUAGAACUUUUUACCAAUGCAUAGUGUGUUUGAAGAAAACACAAUGAUGCUCUUAAGUGUUCAACGCAGACAAUGGAGAGAGGAAGUUGCUUGAGCAAACCAGACUAUUGUUCAAGUUGUAUACAAAUAUUUGACUAAAUAUUGACAAUAUUGUAGUUUGCUCAUAUAUUUACAAAUACGUGAGUUUUAGUAUCAAGAAUGUUUUAUGCAUAAACAUGUAUUGUACAUAAAAAAUUGUAUUAUACGUAUAAAUAGAGUAUUAUACAUACAAAAAUACAAAAAAUUCCUCCCCGCGUA